RNAcentral lists this ribosomal RNA (305 nucleotides) under uncultured bacterium. RNAcentral's name for it is "bacterial SSU rRNA". It matches the Rfam family "Bacterial small subunit ribosomal RNA", at positions 332 to 655 of the family's 1533-position model. The record is from RNAcentral.
UGUAGCCUACGGGGCGCAGCAGUGGGGAAUAUUGCACAAUGGGGGAAACCCUGAUGCAGCGACGCCGCGUGAGUGAGGAAGUAUUUCGGUAUGUGAAGCUCUAUCAGCAGGGAAGAAAAUGACGGUACCUAACUAAGAAGCCCCGGCUAACUACGUGCCAGCAGCCGCGGUAAUACGUAGGGGGCAAGCGUUAUCCGGAUUUACUGGGUGUAAAGGGAGCGUAGACGGUUAAUCAAGUCAGAAGUGAAAACCCAGGGCUCAACCUUGGGACUGCUUUUGAAACUGAGUAGCUAGAGUGCAGGAGG